Molecule: ribosomal RNA, 256 nt
Filed under: uncultured archaeon
Lineage: Archaea
Description: partial 16S ribosomal RNA
Rfam family: Bacterial small subunit ribosomal RNA
Source: RNAcentral
UAAUACGAAGGGGGCUAGCGUUGCUCGGAAUCACUGGGCGUAAAGGGCGCGUAGGCGGCGUUUUAAGUCGGGGGUGAAAGCCUGUGGCUCAACCACAGAAUGGCCUUCGAUACUGGGACGCUUGAGUAUGGUAGAGGUUGGUGGAACUGCGAGUGUAGAGGUGAAAUUCGUAGAUAUUCGCAAGAACACCGGUGGCGAAGGCGGCCAACUGGACCAUUACUGACGCUGAGGCGCGAAAGCGUGGGGAGCAAACAGG